GAUGAACGCUGGCGGCGUGCCUAAUACAUGCAAGUCGAGCGAACAGACGAGGAGCUUGCUCCUCUGACGUUAGCGGCGGACGGGUGAGUAACACGUGGAUAACCUACCUAUAAGACUGGGAUAACUUCGGGAAACCGGAGCUAAUACCGGAUAAUAUAUUGAACCGCAUGGUUCAAUAGUGAAAGACGGUUUUGCUGUCACUUAUAGAUGGAUCCGCGCCGCAUUAGCUAGUUGGUAAGGUAACGGCUUACCAAGGCGACGAUGCGUAGCCGACCUGAGAGGGGGGUCGGCCACACUGGAACUGAGACACGGUCCAGACGCCUACGGGAGGCAGCAGUAGGGAAUCUUCCGCAAUGGGCGAAAGCCUGACGGAGCAACGCCGCGUGAGUGAUGAAGGUCUUCGGAUCGUAAAACUCUGUUAUUAGGGAAGAACAAAUGUGUAAGUAACUAUGCACGUCUUGACGGUACCUAAUCAGAAAGCCACGGCUAACUACGUG
This 497-nucleotide ribosomal RNA is filed under the name uncultured bacterium. RNAcentral describes it as "partial 16S ribosomal RNA". It matches the Rfam family "Bacterial small subunit ribosomal RNA", at positions 28 to 507 of the family's 1533-position model. The record is from RNAcentral.